AAUUUUGGACAAUGGGGGAAACCCUGAUCCAGCCAUCCCGCGUGUAUGAUGAAGGCCUUCGGGUUGUAAAGUACUUUUGGCAGAGAAGAAAAGGUAUCCCCUAAUACGGGAUACUGCUGACGGUAUCUGCAGAAUAAGCACCGGCUAACUACGUGCCAGCAGCCGCGGUAAUACGUAGGGUGCAAGCGUUAAUCGGGAUUACUGGGCGUAAAGGGGGGGUAGGCGGGUCGGAAAGAAAGAUGUGAAAUCCCAGGGCUCAAACUUGGAACUGCAAUUUUAACUGCCGGAGUAGAGGAAGUCAGAGGGGGGUAGAAUUCCACGUGUAGCAGUGAAAAGCGUAGAUAUGUGGAGGAAUACCGAUGGCGAAGGCAGCCCCCUGGGAUAAUACUGACGCUCAGACACGAAAGCGUGGGGAGCAAACAGG
RNAcentral lists this ribosomal RNA (424 nucleotides) under uncultured bacterium. RNAcentral describes it as "partial 16S ribosomal RNA". It matches the Rfam family "Bacterial small subunit ribosomal RNA", at positions 360 to 776 of the family's 1533-position model. The record is from RNAcentral.